Molecule: ribosomal RNA, 274 nt
Filed under: uncultured bacterium
Lineage: Bacteria
Description: partial 16S ribosomal RNA
Rfam family: Bacterial small subunit ribosomal RNA
Source: RNAcentral
AUACGAAGGGUGCUAGCGUUGUUCGGAAUUACUGGGCGUAAAGCGCGCGUAGGCGGCUUAUCAAGUUAGGCGUGAAAGGCCUGGGCUCAACCCGGGAACUGCGCUUAAUACUGGUAGACUUGAGUCCGGGAGAGGGUGGCGGAAUUCCCAGUGUAGAGGUGAAAUUCGUAGAUAUUGGGAAGAACACCAGUGGCGAAGGCGGCCACCUGGCCCGGUACUGACGCUGAGGUGCGAAAGCGUGGGGAGCAAACAGGAUUAGAAACCCCGGUAGUCC